This 1300-nucleotide long non-coding RNA is filed under the name Calidris pugnax (ruff). RNAcentral describes it as "lncRNA (ENSCPUG00000006370.1)". The record is from RNAcentral. Lineage: Eukaryota; Metazoa; Chordata; Aves; Charadriiformes; Scolopacidae.
AUGGAAAACUGCGUUUCAACAAAUCAAACUUUUUUGCCCUGUUUGUCCUUCCAGCUGCAGGGAAGUGUCCUCUGUGACCACAAGAAGAGUGCAUGCUGCCUGGUGCUGAUGUGGUUCACCAAAAACUCGGGCUGCUCCUUUACCAGGGACCAUGAGACCACAGUUGUAGUCCAGGGGAAGUGGUGGCCCCUUCAACGGUGCUUGAAGAUGCUCUCUGGAAGAGAGGAGUCUCCCCAUCCCCAGGAGCAAGUCUGCAGCCAGGUUUGUCAAGGAGGAUUUGCCCUUUCCAUCCACACGUGACUGGAAAUGAUUUCCAGGAGGACAUGCUCCAUGAUCUUUCCAGGUACUGAGGUGAGUCUCACUUUUCUACAGCUCCUCCUCCCAGGUCCUCCUUCUUGCCUCACUUGAAGGUGGAUGUACCAUUAAUUAGCCUUUUUCUAGGAAGAAAUAGAGAUCCCACUCCCCCAGUUUCACCACAGUUUUCAGCUCAGCAGUUGUUUGGUUACUUUCAUACAUGCUCUACGGACUCCCAACACUUCAGAGUCCUUCCUGAUGUUAUCCAAGGUACCAGUUUUCCCUUGUAGACCAUCUUGUCCAUGUCCUUUAUUUCCUUCACUUAGGCAGGGCAGCCUGGUUGGAACAUGAGUAGAGAGCCAUUGAAAGGGGGGGUUAAUUACAGAGGCAUAAAAUUAACAUAGGCUGCCGAUGAGCACUGGCUAUCUACUUUCCACUCAAUACAGUUGAAAAUUUCAGCCUUAAAAGACAUGUUUCAAAACUGGGCUAUUUUUUCCUGUUAUUUCACUACAGGAGCCCUGCACUCUUUCUUCUGCAGGGGUAGAACACAGACUAUUUAGUGCUUUUUGCAACCAACUUACCAUAAUGUGAUUUAUACUUCUUUUUUGGCUACCAGCACCAGAGUUUUACGAUAGGAGCACUUUGUAAAUUACAGCAAAUGAACUUAAUGGUUAUUAUGCUUUACUCAAGUCAAAUUCUCCCUCCCAAAAUAUAGUUUACUUAAUAUAAUUUAAUUAAUAUUUUGGACAGGCAGAAUGCAUACAUACAUUAUAUAGUUGAGCAUAAAAAUCCAGGAAACACUCCUUAUAUGACUUCACCUUGCCUUUCAUAUAUCACAUAAUAAUAAGGAUGCUAAAUAACAGUUGGCAUAUAGGAAUUUGCAACACAGAAGGAUUUUUUUUUUUUUCAUUUAUAGCAAAUGUUUCCUGAGUCUCUUAAGUCCCAAGUGUGGUUCUUAAAUCUCCUGCUUGCUAUACCUCAGAUGUAAAUCUUAGUCAGACCAUCG